This is a small nucleolar RNA of Kogia breviceps (pygmy sperm whale), 154 nucleotides long. NCBI's taxonomy places the organism in Eukaryota, Metazoa, Chordata, Mammalia, Artiodactyla, Physeteridae. The record is from RefSeq and is a predicted model, not a curated record.
UUUCAUUUUAGAAGCUGAAUUUCCAGAUUAUUAAAAAUCUACCUAUGAACUCACAAGUGUAGGUAGUGUGCUACAUGAGGGGCAAGUUUUUCGCUAACAUCACAACGGUCUCUGGCCCAAUGAGUAGAGUUUGAUAGUAAUACUUGCUACAAAU